This 482-nucleotide ribosomal RNA is filed under the name uncultured bacterium. RNAcentral describes it as "partial 16S ribosomal RNA". It matches the Rfam family "Bacterial small subunit ribosomal RNA", at positions 30 to 507 of the family's 1533-position model. The record is from RNAcentral.
AUUGAACGCUGGCGGCAUGCCUUACACAUGCAAGUCGAACGGUAACAGGGUUACAGCUUCUGCUGACUGGCGAACGGGUGCGUAAUACAGCGGAAUGUGCCCAGACCUAGUGGUUAACGGGGCGUAAGGUUGGCUAAUACCCCAUACGACCUAAGGCUGCCAACAGGUGACCGCAAGGCCUCGUCCGUUUUUGCCCGCCGAUGUCAGAUUAGGUAGUUGGGGGGAUAAAAGCUUACCAAGCCGACGAUCUGUAGCUGGUCUGAGAGGACGAUCAGCCACACUGGAACUGAGACACGGCCCAGACUCCUACGGGAGGCAGCAGUGGGGAAUAUUGGACAAUGGGCGAAAGCCUGAUCCAGCAAUGCCGCGUGCGUGAAGAAGGCCUUCGGGUUGUAAAGUGCUUUUGUUGGGAAAGAAAAGCCGCUGGCUAAUACCUGGCGGACAUGACGGUACCGAAAGAAUAAGCACCGGCUAACUACGUG